Molecule: ribosomal RNA, 488 nt
Filed under: Enterococcus faecalis
Lineage: Bacteria; Bacillati; Bacillota; Bacilli; Lactobacillales; Enterococcaceae
Description: partial 23S ribosomal RNA
Rfam family: Bacterial large subunit ribosomal RNA
Source: RNAcentral
GAUAAGGUUAAGUGAAUAAGGGCGCACGGUGGAUGCCUUGGCACUAGGAGCCGAUGAAGGACGGGACUAACACCGAUAUGCUUUGGGGAGCUGUAAGUAAGCUAUGAUCCAGAGAUUUCCGAAUGGGGGAACCCAAUAUCUUUUAUAGGAUAUUACUUUUCAGUGAAUACAUAGCUGAUUAGAGGUAGACGCAGAGAACUGAAACAUCUUAGUACCUGCAGGAAGAGAAAGAAAAUUCGAUUCCCUGAGUAGCGGCGAGCGAAACGGGAAGAGCCCAAACCAACAAGCUUGCUUGUUGGGGUUGUAGGACUCCAAUAUGGUAGUCUGUUAGUAUAGUUGAAGGAUUUGGAAAAUUCCGCUAAAGAGGGUGAAAGCCCCGUAGACGAAAUGCUAACAACACCUAGGAGGAUCCUGAGUACGGCGGAACACGAGAAAUUCCGUCGGAAUCCGCGGGGACCAUCCCGCAAGGCUAAAUACUCCCUAGUGAC